RNAcentral lists this ribosomal RNA (455 nucleotides) under uncultured bacterium. RNAcentral describes it as "partial 16S ribosomal RNA". It matches the Rfam family "Bacterial small subunit ribosomal RNA", at positions 338 to 790 of the family's 1533-position model. The record is from RNAcentral.
CCUACGGGUGGCAGCAGUGAGGAAUAUUGGUCAAUGGACGAGAGUCUGAACCAGCCAAGUAGCGUGAAGGAUGACUGCCCUAUGGGUUGUAAACUUCUUUUAUAUGGGAAUAAAACGUUCCACGUGUGGGAUUUUGUAUGUACCAUAUGAAUAAGGAUCGGCUAACUCCGUGCCAGCAGCCGCGGUAAUACGGAGGAUCCGAGCGUUAUCCGGAUUUAUUGGGUUUAAAGGGAGCGUAGGUGGAUUGUUAAGUCAGUUGUGAAAGUUUGCGGCUCGACCGUAAAAUUGCAGUUGAAACUGGCAGUCUUGAGUACAGUAGAGGUGGGCGGAAUUCGUGGUGUAGCGGUGAAAUGCUUAGAUAUCACGAAGAACUCCGAUUGCGAAGGCAGUUCACUGGACUGCAACUGACACUGAGGCUCGAAAGUGUGGGUAUCAAACAGGAUUAGAUACCCUUC